CCAAUAAAACUUCCAUCAAGUGAUAUAUGAAUUUGUGAGUCACAAGAACCCAAUUGGGAGGCAGCAUGUCCAUCGUAGUUAAAUGCGUCUUCACAUAUUUCAUCCAUCAAAGCAAACACCCCAUGUUCAGUCUUCGCGUCAUCACUCAAAGUAUGCGCUUGAGAGGCUGGUGGAGCAGAAUCACUGUUGAAGAUCAUGGUUUCAUCAC
Molecule: long non-coding RNA, 208 nt
Filed under: Vitis vinifera (wine grape)
Lineage: Eukaryota; Viridiplantae; Streptophyta; Magnoliopsida; Vitales; Vitaceae
Description: long non-coding RNA (VVIN_LNC003475)
Source: RNAcentral